Molecule: ribosomal RNA, 433 nt
Filed under: uncultured bacterium
Lineage: Bacteria
Description: bacterial SSU rRNA
Rfam family: Bacterial small subunit ribosomal RNA
Source: RNAcentral
ACAAUGGGCGCAAGCCUGAUGGAGCAACACCGCGUGAGUGAAGAAGGGUUUCGGCUCGUAAAGCUCCGUUGUUAAAGAAGAACACGUAUGAGAGUAACUGUUCAUACGUUGACGGUAUUUAACCAGAAAGUCACGGCUAACUACGUGCCAGCAGCCGCGGUAAUACGUAGGUGGCAAGCGUUAUCCGGAUUUAUUGGGCGUAAAGAGAGUGCAGGCGGUUUUCUAAGUCUGAUGUGAAAGCCUUCGGCUUAACCGGAGAAGUGCAUCGGAAACUGGAUAACUUGAGUGCAGAAGAGGGUAGUGGAACUCCAUGUGUAGCGGUGGAAUGCGUAGAUAUAUGGAAGAACACCAGUGGCGAAGGCGGCUACCUGGUCUGCAACUGACGCUGAGACUCGAAAGCAUGGGUAGCGAACAGGAUUAGAUACCCUGGUAG